UCGCCCACCAUUCACACCCACGAACUGUCGUCUCCUUGCCACCGCCUUGCCCUCUUCUCGCACGCUAUAGUCUUUUCUUCGCAGCCUCUUGUGAGCUCUAUCUAUUUUGCCUGUGUUGGUUGUUGUCUCCCGUUCGCGGGGUGCGCGGCCGGGCUGGCUAUUUCUUUUAGUGCGGCACCAGCACGCAAACUCCACGCACUGUACUUUCUGCUGCAAGAGUUCAGGUGAUCGCGUCAGCUCUCGCUGCAUGCAUACCCCCUCAUCUUCGGGUCUCUCUACUCUCUGGUACUCUUGGUGCCAUGCCGGGCUCCUCUACUGUGUUAGCUUCACUUUUUCUGUGACCUUUUCUUCAGCGAACUUGCUGCGUCGACACAAGCACCGCCGAUGCACAGCUUCCUGCGGCAUGCACACGUAUACUCUGUCUGCCUCUCUCUGUGUUUGCCGUGAUUUUUUUUUUUUGCUGCUUCCUGCUCGGUGAACUUUUUCUGUCUUUCCGCCGUUCUUUCCUCUCUGUCGCUGUGCGCGGCUUCUCUCUCGACGGCUUCACUGAGUGACGCAUAGCGGUGUUGUCGCAUUACUAACUUUUUCGGAGAUGCUUCUGAGCGCACAGGGAAGGCCCUCGCGGCUGCUCGGUUCUUUUCGCAGCUUUCCUUUCACUAGCGCAGCUCUUUCCGUGGCAGCCAGGCGCUGCCAAGCUCGAGCCCACCAUUUGAGUAAGCGAAGUCCCUUGUCAUCUUGGAGUCCCUUGAGAGGCACCCGGGGCACACCAUGUGCUGUGCUGCCGACAGGACGGCGCUGGGCCACCAACUGCGAAACCGCUGCUUUCGAACCGAACAGAGGUCCGAUGCUGGUGCCCAGGCGCACUGUCCACUCGGCUGCAGCCUCGGCUGCGAAGCCGGCGAACGAAGCUGACGACACUGCGGUUGUGGAGACUGUGAGCGCAUCAUCUGCGACUACUUUGCAACGCGGCGAGAGUGCAACCGCACGAGCCGCGACGGCGGCUGCCACGGGUGCAGCGGCUGCUGCUGAGUCGCAGAACACGGACGCAACAGGUGAUCAACAGCCUUCGAAGAGCACCACCGCUGCAGCGAUCGCAACAGUGGCGACGCCAGCAGGCCAGGCAAGUAUGUGGCGGCGCGCCUGGCGAGUUUUCAAGAGCGAGGGCACGGAUUUCUCCAUCUUCUACCUGCCCUUCUAUGGUGGCACAUUUGUGUUCUUCUACUUUGCAUUCGCGAUGGGGCUGAUGCGCAAGGAGGCAAUCCUCGACUACGUGCUCUCCUGGAUGGGCGACAGGGUCGACCGCGCCAAGCUGAACGCCCGCAUCGCCGCGUGGAAUUCCUGGGCCAACCUGGGCUUCGCCAUCGCCAUCAACGAGUUGGUUGAGGUCGCACGCCUCCCUGUGGUGUUUGCCCUCUACUAUGUAAUGAGGCCGCACUCGAAUCACUUUGCGCGCUGGCUUGCUGGCCUUGCGCGUCGCAUGGGGCGCGGUAAGUGGACUGACGGCGCGGCGAAGGUGUAGCGGAGCGGGAGACGAAAGCCGAGUUGCAUGCGACUGGCUUGACCUGUGCCUCGCCACUGCGAAGUCUGCGCAUCGCUAUUCUGACGUGCAGACGGUCACACGUACCGCACAAAAAACAGCGCAAACUCAUACAAGCGAAAGGGAAUGAGCGCGAUGAUGGCCCGACGGGAGGCGCGGCAGCUGCUGUGUCGCUUUCGGUCCAUAGGAUCUGUUAAGAGGAUAGCUCGCACGUGCAAGCACGGGGCAGGCGCCUUCCACUACCCACAUGUGGCGUGCAGGGCUGCAAUGCGAAGGGCUGCUUUCCUCCUUGCCGAAGCUUGCUCACAUGGCUUGGGCUGCGUGCACUGGGCGGUGAUAAUGCUGGAGCUCGACUAUGCUGACCUAGUCGUGACGACAUCGUUUUUGCACACUAUCGCAAGCCCUCCCCCCGAUUGCUGCCCUCCCUCUCCUCUCCUUUCUUUGCCGUUGCAAUGCGCAG
RNAcentral lists this unclassified non-coding RNA (1997 nucleotides) under Leishmania donovani. RNAcentral describes it as "gene:LdHU3.33.3370(CDS-product:hypothetical_prote in_conserved)". The record is from RNAcentral. Lineage: Eukaryota; Euglenozoa; Kinetoplastea; Trypanosomatida; Trypanosomatidae.